CCUACGUGAGGCUGCAGUGGGGAAUUUUGGACAAUGGGGGAAACCCUGAUCCAGCAAUGCCGCGUGUGCGAAGAAGGCCUUCGGGUUGUAAAGCACUUUUGUCAGGGAAGAAAUCCUUUGGGCUAAUACCCUAGGGGGAUGACGGUACCUGAAGAAUAAGCACCGGCUAACUACGUGCCAGCAGCCGCGGUAAUACGUAGGGUGCAAGCGUUAAUCGGAAUUACUGGGCGUAAAGCGUGCGCAGGCGGUUGUGUAAGACAGGUGUGAAAUCCCCGGGCUUAACCUGGGAAUUGCAUUUGUGACUGCACGACUAGAGUGUGUCAGAGGGGGGUGGAAUUCCACGUGUAGCAGUGAAAGUCGUAGAUAUGUGGAGGAACACCAAUGGCGAAGGCAGCCCCCUGGGAUAACACUGACGCUCAUGCACGAAAGCGUGGGGAGCAAACAGGAUUAGAUACCCUAGUAGUC
Molecule: ribosomal RNA, 465 nt
Filed under: uncultured Limnobacter sp.
Lineage: Bacteria; Pseudomonadati; Pseudomonadota; Betaproteobacteria; Burkholderiales; Burkholderiaceae
Description: bacterial SSU rRNA
Rfam family: Bacterial small subunit ribosomal RNA
Source: RNAcentral